Molecule: ribosomal RNA, 470 nt
Filed under: uncultured bacterium
Lineage: Bacteria
Description: partial 16S ribosomal RNA
Rfam family: Bacterial small subunit ribosomal RNA
Source: RNAcentral
GACGAACGCUGGCGGCGUGCUUAACACAUGCAAGUCGAACGAUGAAGCCUAGCUUGCUAGGUGGAUUAGUGGCGAACGGGUGAGUAAUACGUGAGUGACCUACCUUUGACUCUGGGAUAAGCCUGGGAAACUGGGUCUAAUACCGGAUACGACCAAUCUCCGCAUGGGGUGUUGGUGGAAAGCGUUAUGGAGUGGUUUUAGAUGGGCUCACGGCCUAUCAGCUUGUUGGUGAGGUAAUGGCUUACCAAGGCGACGACGGGUAGCCGGCCUGAGAGGGUGACGGGCCAAACGGGGGCGGGGACACGGCCCGACCCCCUAGGGGGGGCAGCGGUGGGGAAUAUUGAAAAAGGGGCGGAAGCCGGAGGCAGGGACGCCGGGUGGGGGAUGAGGGCCUUGGGGUUGUAACCCUUUGUUGGCAUCAAAGAAGCGAAAGGGGCGGAAGGUGAAAAGAAAGCCGCGGUUAACUAGUG